CCUACGGGAGGCAGCAGUGGGGAAUAUUGCACAAUGGGGGAAACCCUGAUGCAGCCAUGCCGCGUGUGUGAAGAAGGCCUUCGGGUUGUAAAGCACUUUCAGUUGUGAGGAAAAGUUAGUAGUUAAUACCUGCUAGCCGUGACGUUAACAACAGAAGAAGCACCGGCUAACUCCGUGCCAGCAGCCGCGGUAAUACGGAGGGUGCGAGCGUUAAUCGGAAUUACUGGGCGUAAAGCGCACGCAGGCGGUUUGUUAAGCUAGAUGUGAAAGCCCCGGGCUCAACCUGGGAUGGUCAUUUAGAACUGGCAGACUAGAGUCUUGGAGAGGGGAGUGGAAUUCCAGGUGUAGCGGUGAAAUGCGUAGAUAUCUGGAGGAACAUCAGUGGCGAAGGCGACUCCCUGGCCAAAGACUGACGCUCAUGUGCGAAAGUGUGGGUAGCGAACAGGAUUAGAUACCCUGGUAGUCCACACCGUAAACGCUGUCUACUAGCUGUGUGUGCCUUUAAGGCGUGCGUAGCGAAGCUAACGCGCUGAGUAGACCGCCUGGGGAGUACGGCCGCAAGGUUAAAACUCAAAUGAAUUGACGG
This 586-nucleotide ribosomal RNA is filed under the name uncultured bacterium. RNAcentral describes it as "bacterial SSU rRNA". It matches the Rfam family "Bacterial small subunit ribosomal RNA", at positions 338 to 916 of the family's 1533-position model. The record is from RNAcentral.